This 458-nucleotide ribosomal RNA is filed under the name uncultured bacterium. RNAcentral describes it as "partial 16S ribosomal RNA". It matches the Rfam family "Bacterial small subunit ribosomal RNA", at positions 339 to 795 of the family's 1533-position model. The record is from RNAcentral.
CCACGGGUGGCUGCAGUGAGGAAUAUUGGUCAAUGGCCGAGAGGCUGAACCAGCCAAGUCGCGUGAGGGAUGACGGCCCUACGGGUUGUAAACCUCUUUUGUCGGGGAGCAAAGAGAGUCACGUGUGGCUCAUUGAGAGUACCCGAAGAAAAAGCAUCGGCUAACUCCGUGCCAGCAGCCGCGGUAAUACGGAGGAUGCGAGCGUUAUACGGAUUUAUUGGGUUUAAAGGGUGCGCAGGCGGAGGUGCAAGUCAGUGGUCAAAUUGCGGGGCUCAACCCCGUACUGCCGUUGAAACUGCAUCCCUUGAGUGCGCGAGAAGUAUGCGGAAUGCGUGGUGUAGCGGUGAAAUGCAUAGAUAUCACGCAGAACUCCGAUUGCGAAGGCAGCAUACCGGCGCGCAACUGACGCUCAUGCACGAAAGCGUGGGUAUCGAACAGGAUUAGAUACCCCAGUAGUC